UGUUAAAAAUUUCAUCUAAAUCUAGUGAUAAAAACUAGUAUGGCUAACAAAACAACUAGACAACACGCCUUGUAUAACUCAUGCUGACGUAUAAAGAUCAGCUUUUAAUUGUAGAAAUAUAUGAAACUUUUAACA
Non-coding RNA from Gossypium raimondii (Peruvian cotton), 135 nucleotides. The record is from Rfam. NCBI's taxonomy places the organism in Eukaryota, Viridiplantae, Streptophyta, Magnoliopsida, Malvales, Malvaceae.